RNAcentral lists this ribosomal RNA (433 nucleotides) under uncultured bacterium. Its description in RNAcentral is "bacterial SSU rRNA". It matches the Rfam family "Bacterial small subunit ribosomal RNA", at positions 29 to 506 of the family's 1533-position model. The record is from RNAcentral.
GCGAACGCUGGCGGCAGGCUUAACACAUGCAAGUCGAACGCCCGUAGCAAUACGGGAGUGGCAGACGGGUGAGUAACACGUGGGAACGUGCUUUUUGGUUCGGCACAACCCAGGGAAACUUGGGCUAAUACCGGAUAAGCCCUUACGGGGAAAGAUUUAUCGCCAAAAGAUCGGCCCGCGUCUGAUUAGCUAGUUGGUGGGGUAACGGCCCACCAAGGCGACGAUCAGUAGCUGGUCUGAGAGGAUGAUCAGCCACACUGGGACUGAGACACGGCCCAGACUCCUACGGGAGGCAGCAGUGGGGAAUCUUGGACAAUGGGCGCAAGCCUGAUCCAGCCAUGCCGCGUGAGUGAUGAAGGCCUUAGGGUUGUAAAGCUCUUUCAGUGGGGAAGAUAAUGACGGUACCCACAGAAGAAGCCCCGGCUAACUUCGU